RNAcentral lists this non-coding RNA (21 nucleotides) under Mus musculus (house mouse). The record is from RNAcentral. Lineage: Eukaryota; Metazoa; Chordata; Mammalia; Rodentia; Muridae.
AACCACGGAGUGGUGUCCGCG